AGAAGUUCUGGACCUAUCAAAAAGCUACAUUUAGAAAGUGAAGGGAGCGGUACAAGAGGAGGAAGCAUGUUUUGAAGAGCUUCAAUUCCUGGAGCGAUUACAAGUCUUAUCCAUCAGAUAGAUACCGUGUUACCCUCUCCAAGAUACAAUUAUUUCCUGGAUAAAUAGAUUAAAAGUAUUCAAAAUUGACAUCGGAUGGGACUAUUCUCCUUCAGAAAGUUACGCAGAAAUUAUCGGGAAACAAUAUAUGAUAGGCUGUACUUUCGACAUGUGCCAUCUCUAUUUCCAAUCUGGGGUGCCCAAAGAUGCGUGAUUAUGGAUGGGAUUGAUCUCUCGGGAGGACAAAUCGGGUGGUGGUUGAGUAAUGCAAGUUAUCUAGACUUAAGAAGUUGUCGAGGACUGAAUGAGAUGCUACAAGACUUGGUCAUUAACAGUGUUGGCAGAAGCUUUACAUAUUUAAAAAAGCUUGAGAUUCGUGAG
Molecule: long non-coding RNA, 480 nt
Organism: Carya illinoinensis
Lineage: Eukaryota; Viridiplantae; Streptophyta; Magnoliopsida; Fagales; Juglandaceae
Exons: 3
Source: RefSeq, a predicted model, not a curated record